Carica papaya (papaya) is the source of this 1389-nucleotide non-coding RNA. The record is from RefSeq and is a predicted model, not a curated record. NCBI's taxonomy places the organism in Eukaryota, Viridiplantae, Streptophyta, Magnoliopsida, Brassicales, Caricaceae.
GAUUUUCUCAUUUCUAUAUUAUCUAGUAUCACAAAUGAUAAUUCCCAUCUUGUCGUACGUAAAAUAACAGUCACCUCCACUGUGCUCAGCAAGCACCGAUAAACAAAUGCAGGCGAGCAUGUCUCUCAGAAUCUUCCUUAGCCAUGUCCGCACUCCUCCCUUACUGUCGCCAGACAUUGUCAGUAACGGCAGUGACAAACGAUUCCGUACCGAAAUCAAAGCAGAGAAGCAGGAAGUCAGGGUGUGCACCAACCGUACAUGUCGUCGACAAGGCUCUAUACAGAUCCUCGACGCACUGUCUGGACUGGCGCCACCAGAAGUGGUAGUGAAGUCGUGUGGUUGCCUCGGCCGCUGCGGCGCCGGUCCCAACCUCGUGGUACUUCCCGGGGGCAAGAUCUUCGGCUACUGUGCUACGGCGGCUCGAGCGGCCGAGGUGAUGCUUGGCUUGUGCUCCCGAGGUUGUGAUGCUGGUGCCAUCAGCAAGGCUCUCGAAGGGCUGGCCUUGACUCAGAGAGUUCGGUCUGAGCUGGAGAAUGGCAAUUUCUCGCAGGCCGAGCUAGUUCUCUCCCAGGCUAUUGAUUUAGAACCACUUGGGGGCAUCCAUGUUAUGUACAGAUACAGAUCUCUUGCAAGAUUAUCGAUGGGAAACCUUUCUGGGGCUCUUGAGGAUGCCACACAAGCUUUGACAUUAGCACCCAACUACGCUGAGGCUUACAUAUGCCAAGGUGAUGCUUUCUUGGCAAUGGCCCACUAUGACUUGGCUGAAAAAUCAUAUUCAAUAUGUCUACAAGUAGAUCCUUCUCUUCGUCGUUCAAAAUCAUUCAAGGCUCGCAUUGCGAAGCUUCAGGAGAAACUUGCUGCAGUAGACAGGCCUUAAGGUUUGCAGCAUGGCUGAAACAACACUGACUUAAAUAUUGAUCAAUAACAUGAAUUAGAUUAUGGUGUCUCUGCUGUUUGAAGAACUUACCGAGGAUGUCACCAACAUGAAAUAAUUUACCCUCAGUCCAGUUGGUGAAAUUGGUGAAGAGAUUCCAGCCAUCACCAUCUCCGACAACAAACGAUGUUGCUCUCACGUCAAGGAUAUUGAAGGAUGUAGUGAGUAGAAGGUAAAGUACAAUCAUGCUGUAGUAUGGAUUAUCGGCAAGCAUAUGGUUUUAUGUCCCUUAUUUUCGUCAGCUCCUUUUCCUCGAAUUUUACCUGAUGAAAUGGUGAUAGGUAGGGUUGUAGGGAAGGGAAGUGUUGGUUCACAGAGGCAUUUUUGAAGUGGGUUUGGAGGGUCAUGAUAUUUGGUUUUAUCCUGAUUAGGUAAUCAUGUAAAUUGUACUUUGCAGUGUGCAUAAAAAAGUCAGGUUAUAUUGUUAAUAUUAACAUGAUUCUUUUUGCAUGUGA